Cheilinus undulatus (humphead wrasse) is the source of this 403-nucleotide long non-coding RNA. RefSeq lists it as uncharacterized. The transcript is spliced from 3 exons. Lineage: Eukaryota; Metazoa; Chordata; Actinopteri; Labriformes; Labridae. The record is from RefSeq and is a predicted model, not a curated record.
UGAGCAGCUAAGAACUUGUUCACAAACAACAAACGCGACUAAGCUGUCUUUCAGCGGCUUGUGGGUUCAUGAGGAGCCGCUGAUGAAGAGCAGUCUGGAUUCUGGGAGCCUUUGGCUGGAGAGAGACCCAAAGUUGGGCUGUUUCUGUUGGACAGGAUGGACGUCAUUGUGGCAUGUGAAGGACAGAGUGAACCACUGUUGUCUUGUUGCAGAGAAGUGAUGACCCAUCUGCAUUCCAAGAGUUAAGACCAUUGACACAGAGAGGGAGACUGCCCUUUUAAACCUGUGAACACAUGAAGGAGGAAAAGCAACAACCUUGAUAAGAAGUGACUUCCAAGACCACCUUGACAUGCAUUCAUGCUGUCCAGAGUUCCCUGCAGUGCUGCAUUCCUUCUCAUCACAG